Molecule: non-coding RNA, 6631 nt
Organism: Penaeus vannamei (Pacific white shrimp)
Lineage: Eukaryota; Metazoa; Arthropoda; Malacostraca; Decapoda; Penaeidae
Source: RefSeq, a predicted model, not a curated record
UGACGCGCGUGGCGGCGCCCGCGCACGCCACCUCCGCGCCCUCCAAUGCCCUCCCGAACGCCCGCCCAGUCACCGAGAACUGCCUCAUGAUGGACGACCUCAACAACGGCCCGGCCACGCUGCGCGACAUCGACGACCUGUUGUUCGCGGACCACACGCCCACCGAGGAGACGCACCUCCUGGACCGCUCGCUCUCCAUCCCUCACAACGCCUCCGCCCUCAACACCUAGCUGUUGCUUCGCCUUCGUGGAAGGACGCCCCGGCCUUCCAACGAGAGGGCUGGAAAGAGACGCGAGACGAAGUGGAGGAUUGAUUUCGGUCAUCCAUCCACUCACCCCGCGAUGCUGCAGACAAUUCACGAGGGGGAAUCACCAUCAAGCACCUGAACGCGAGCGAAGACAAGGCCUCUGAUCCGCCAAACGCCAAAGGUUCGCCAAACAGGAACGCGUUUUCGCGCGAGGAACCCGCCACACGAGGCGUCGUCGCCGGGGCAAGUUUCUCCAAGACCCUGAGGCGUUUCUCUUCAUGCGGGAGCGAGAUUGGCUUCUUCCUAGCAAUAAAAUCACUAAAUACUUAAAUAAUUGCUCAUCUCGUUGUUGAAAAAGGUUCGAACUUUUUUUUUGAUUGAUGUAUGUAAUUGAUUAUUUAGUAUAUCCCAGAAAACAAGCCACGAGAAAGCGGACAAAACUAAUGUUGAGCUUUCAGAGGAGAGUCGGCCAACUGCCCCUCCCUCUCACAGGCCCAGAGGAUGGCGUCGUUUGGGAAUCAGCAGUAAGCUCUGUGCAAACAAACCGUCUGUUUCAAAAUAUUACAGUUAUUAAUACAAACAGUUAGGAAACCAAGCCUUAUAAACCAGCGAGUGGGCAGUUGUCUUUGGUAGGUCUGCCCGACACCAACAGUAUUGCAGUUAAAGUAAGUUGAAAUGGCCCUCGGAUCGCUCUGGAGGGGGGUUCUCGGGGUCCCUCCAGUACGAAAGAAAAGAAGCGAAAUAUCAAAGUACCUCUUAGCAAUGAUAAAGAUAAAAAAUGCUUUUGUAACAAAAUUUAUUCCCCUUAUCUUGUCAAGACUUCGUCCAUUGCGUCCCUUUUAUGGGUGUUUUUGUACCGAAGCUUAAAAAAAAUUGGCACAAACUAAUUCGGAAUUUUGGGGGUUAAAAAGCUAUAUAAAAAGUAAAAUAAUCUCUGUGGAGCCGCUUGCGAUACCGAUGGUCACUUGUAGGUCCUAGUCAAAAGUUGUUACAUGUAGUACCGUAGAGGCGACGCCACCGUGAUAAAAAUCUAGAAAUUACCAGCUUUGUGCGCCUACAAGCCAUUCCGCCAGUCAGCCAAGCAGCCAGCCAGCCAGCGCCUAGCCUUCCGUGUCUGUAAAACUCCGCUAUUCGCACCAAGAAAUAGACAGCAUGGCUAUCGCAUGGAGCGCCCGCCAUAAGGUUUUGCGCCGCCAGAAAAGGGGGAAAUACUCACCUCGACUUCGUUGGAUGAUAAAAAAAAAUACUCAAGAUUAAACUAGACUCGUAUCGGCAGCCCGGUAACAGAUAACAAGGAAAUAUUGUCGAUAAAAACAAUAUAUAUCAAGCAAUUCCUAAAACAACACGUUAGAUCAAAAUAUUUUUCUUCGCUUUGCUUUCUCUCUCUUUCUGUUUGCCUUUCUGUCUGUUUAUCUAUCUGUCUAUCUACCUACCUGCCUACCUACCUAUCUUUAUAUCUAUCUAUCUGUCUAUCUAUCCAUCUAUGUCUAGCAGGCACCAUCUCUCCACCUCCUUCUAUGUUUCCUCACAUUAACUUCAGGAAAGGGAAGUCCCAUGCGAUAGCCAUACUGACGUCAGUCUUAGAGCAGACCAAAAAUAACACUUCGUUCCUCCGGUGCUUUAUAUAAACGAGCUAAAUAAGUGAAGAAAAAAAACGAUGUAGAAAACGAGUCACAGAACGUUUUUCCCUCAUUUGGUUACGAGUUGACCUUCCGCUGGUGAACUUGGGCCAAGUGGAAGACAAGAGCCAUGUGAACAGGAACAGCGGAGGACAACCAGUUCUUUUCCCUUAUGUAUUCCAGUGUGAGUUUAUUUUUCAAGAUAAAAAGAUAAAGACACAAGUGACAAGUGAAUGGAGAAUUGUGAUAUGGUUAAUAUUUUUUUAAUCUUAAGCUCAAGAUGUUACAAAAAAGAAGCGCUAAGCACUAUAGUCUGGCACUUCAUGGGGCAAGGAAAUUAGUUUAUUUCUCAAUUCAGUAUUCAGCACAAUUAAAUACUUGAUAAAGGCCAGGAUAGCCUUUUCCAUUGUUAUUCUUUAUUUAUUUGUCUUUUCAUGUGGAGAAUAAUCCACGGCUGUGUUCCUUGCCACAAAGUAUAUUUAAUUUCCUACACAUGUUCUUUGUUUAUCAUAUGUUAAGAAUUCUGAUAUUUAUGGUUUAAAUCUUGUUACUCUAUUGUAUGUAAGGGGAUUUUCUUUCAUUUUUGUAACAGUUGUCAAAAUUAUCUGUACAGAUUGUGAAAAUCGAAAGUUUAGGAAUUCUCAAAUAUGUUAUUAGAUAUUUUGUAUAUUGCCUGAUGACUUUUGAUGUAUCUAUUAUCUGUUGAACAAAUGCAUAUUCUUAUCAGUGUUACUGAUAAACGUUUAUGUCACACGUCAAAUGUGUGGAUACUGUACAAGCUCGAUCUUUCUCUUAAGUGUUUAAAACUUACGCAAUGCAAGUCUGCAUAAUAUUUACAUGAGGCGUUGUAAUAAACUGCCGUUGGACGUGCGUCAAUCAGCAAUUAUUUUCCGAUAUUAGAAGUGACUCGUGCAGAUUGUAACAGGCACUGUGUUAAGAGAGUGGUGUAUAGCCCGAAGGGUUACUUUAAUCUUUUUUAAUCCUAGGGAAAAAUAAAUUCUAUUUUAUUUCUUAAAUUUAUGUGGAUGAAACCCCGGUGAUGGUGGAAGCGCAAAGGUCAUGCCGGGACGCUGUCGAUUCCCGCUGCCUCAUUCAGCACGUGCGUGUGGGUGUGUGUCUGCGCGUUAUGCUCUGUGCGCAUGGGAGUGAGCGAGUCCCGGUCAGGCAGAAGGGCGAAUCCGCAGCGCCCCGGGAUCCUGAGCGACAAGGGAACACGCUGGCAUGGCAGCUCCCCGGGGUGACGGACCCUUGGCUCGCCGACGCCUCGAGCCCGGCAAAGGGUCCAGUCACAGCCGGAGACCGUCGCUCUAGGCUUCUCCUGCAAGUACCUGUUACGAAGAAAAAGCAAAAGAUUCUUGUUUCUGUACUUAGCGUUUCAUAUAUGUAUGUAUGAAUGUAUAUAUGUACGUAUGUCCGUAUGCAUGCAUGUAUAUAUCGGGAUGAGAGGAGAGUUUCCUGAGACGACGGAAGCUUCCUUGUCAGCAAAAUCCCCCCACAAAGCAUGACGUCAUCUAGGAUAACUGUAUUCAUUAAGUGUCUGAGUUUUUCAUUCAGGUCUUAUCACACUGUUAUGUAUCAUACACCGGCCAGAUGAUAAUGUUAUUAUAGACUUUCUUUGUCGCGUGAAUUACGAUCAAGAACCAAAUAUGUAUAAUUAAUAUUGCAUGGGUAUAUCUCCGGGCUACUGCUGAGGUGGUCGUCAUGGCAACGAGGUGCAACAAAGUGGUAGAUGGGUAGUCGUUGGUGAGCGCAAAAGAAGAAGGAGGAAGAGAGAAAAACGGCAGAUAGGGAGGGAAGCAGAGGAAGAGGCAAGGGGAGGAGGAGAAUAACUCUCGUUUUGGUUCUUCCUCUUUCUGCGCUUUCCUCCCCGUCGCCUCCUCUCCUUUCUUCCUUCUUCGCCGAUAGACUGUUACAAGUAUAUGUGUGGAUAUUUUUUUCUGAAAUGUUGCCUCGGUCAGUCCACGUCAGACUCCUUGUAGUCCAUCAGUUCUGCACUUAUACAUUCUUAAUAAUAUCCGGGUGGGUAGUAAAGUUGAGCCUCGAAUUGUUUGUUUCUUCAGAUGUUUAUAUAAAAGAUAAAACCAAUUUGAUGGUUGCUUAAGUGUAGUAAGUGUCCAUCAGCUGGCCAUGACGCUUGGCGAUCGUCCUUUGUCUCGGUCUUAUUUUUUUUUCUUCUCUUCUUAUUGCAAGAGAGAAAAAGAUGACGAUUUCCAUGCGUCACUGACUAUGUGAGAUGUCACGUGACUCCGAGGUGAGGUUUUCCCGCCCACCCUCUCGUUACAUCCAUCGUGUCAAAAACACAUUUCAUCUCUCACGCUCCAAUGACAUAAAUGUGCAUAUGCUCAAUAAGUUACUGUAUAUUGUGAAGAGUCCAAGUUUUUUCUCCCCUCCUCCCCUCCUCCCCUCACGCUCCCCCUUCUCCUUCCUCCGUGUAAUGUCCAGCGCGAUCAUAGUUGAAUCAUCAAUUGUUUCCCAAAAGCCUUGGUGUUGUGGACUAGCGUAGGGCUCACGACGCGGGCCUGCUGACUUGUCCCGAUCACCCGCCAUCGCCGCCAGGAAGGAACAGCAACAUCGGCCUCUUCGCAAACCCUCGCGAUGGUUCUGAAGGAAAAUGGCCUUCGUUUUCACCACUGUCGCACCAUGAGCUUCGUCGGGCCGCGUAACAGGAAUAAAAAAACGUAAACUGAUGACUAAUCUUUAUUGCCAGUCUAUAUUCAUUUGCUUCAUUACUUAUUCAAAAUCAUUAAAUCUACUGCGAUGAAGUUACUAUUAUGAGUUAAGCAAUAGCGCACAUUCGAUUGAAUCAAAUUAUUCUGAAAGUUUUUCUCAAGAAAAAUUAUUUAAACAAUCGGGUGCAGUAAAUACAGAAAGUAACCUCAAAAAGACCGCAGAAGUUGUAAUCAUUCAGCCUAACGCCCUAGCCUAAGACUUGCUGAAACGUAGCUAACUUCCUUUAGUCUCCCGUGAUGUUUACUUGAACUAGAGAAAACGACAACCCUAAAAAUCUCCCUUGAAAUUAAAGUAGUAAAUUAGUCCCCAGAUCAGCAGUAACGAAUGUCUUUAAAGAGACUAGAGAGUAAUGGUAAUCAAAUAUGCUAUUUUAAUUGGAAACUAAAAUGCACUUGAAGAUAUAGCACCAACUAAGCACGUCUACCAUAACAGAGUUGCACAACCGAUUCUUAUCUACCGAGUCCCUUCCUGCCCUCGCCAUCGUCGCAGCUCCCGGGAAUCUCUUUGGCCCUUUCUCUCGUCAGUUCCUUCCGCGCACUCCUCUCGGAACCCCACGCGUUUCCCUUCGGCCGAAACUGCCACUGCGAUGGCAUCAGACCCCACCUCCUGCCUUCUCCACUUUCUGCGAGCCGCCUUCGUGGCCGUGUCUUCUUCCAGGGAAUCCCAUGCGGUUCCCUGAGAGUCACUCCUCGGGGCGGUUGCAUACCUUUUCCUUGGGAUGUCAUCACCUCAUCUCAUCUUCAUCGACCUCUGGUGCUUCCUCCCCGGUAUAGUAAAGUAGUGAGAGCGGAGAAAGUUGCACAUCCAGGGCAUUUUGAUGGUUUUGCCAAAGUCGCUCGGAUCUGCAAGGUUCUGGCUCUUGGUCCGAUGCUUGUCGCCAGUGAAGUAGGAUUUAGGCUGUGUAGGACAUUGCGCAGACCUGAGCCAGCGGUUUUGAGCAAAGUUGGCAACGUUUGUCACCAAAUGUGUCUGAGUAUCUGGCUGGAAACUAGUUCAGUCAGUCAGCCAUAAUGGUUCGUUAGACUGGUAGAAGCCUGUGACUGCCAACAUACAUGUAUCUAGCACUGUUACGCCUUUUCGUAGAUUGUACCGGGGAGGUUCACAAAGCACAGAGAAUAAAAAUCAUUGUUUCUGGGCGUGUACCUGGUCCAGGUUCCCGUCUUCUUCACGUGGCUCAGUGGUGCCAACCCUCAUACUUGUGACGUCAUUUGGAACCACUGGAAACGAAUUCUGUAAUAGCAUUUAAGAAACCGUAUCAGAAAAAGAAAAAUAAUCUAUAACAUAAGCACAAGAAUAACAGCGAGCUUUCAUAAACACCCCAAUGCGGACACUGAUAACUUUCUUCCUUAAAUGCUGUUUAAGAAUAAGCCCAGGAGGUGAGCACGGUUGGCAGGCCUGUGAGUCACGAGCACUAUCCUGUAAUUUUGACAUACAUACUAUGCCCAUGUAAAUUCCUGAAGGACUUUUGGAUGAUAUCAUGAAUAAUCAUGUAUAAAACACAGCUAUGAUUUUUUUUAUAUAACCUAGAAACUUCUUUUUAUGAAUGACAUUCUAACAGCUGCAAGAACACCUGUUUGUGUACAUAUCAUUUGUGUUCAUCAGAUUUUUGUGUUCACAUGUUCCUAUGCUGUACUCAAUUCAUGAAGCUAUGAGGUUGCUAGUGGACUACACAAGUCUUAAAGGAUCUCUUUUAAUCAUAGAGAAUUUCACCUCCAUUUUCUGAUUGCAGAGCAUUCGCAUUGACCAAUAGCACACGAUGUUACAAUUUUGAAGUUGCUCUCUCCUUAUAGGUCCACUGCAGCUGCAUAACAAUUGUAUAUUGGAUAGUGAGCCAAGGCCUAUCGCAGUGGUUUAUCAAAUAUUUUACUUAUUUUCUAAAGUGUAGUACUACAGCACCAAGGAUUUCGCAAGCAACGAUUCUUAUGCCCUUCUUGAUCUACAUAGUGAGGCUACUUCCUCACAACUACUGAUAAAAUACAUGAGACAAAUUUCCUAUGCGAGUCAACAUGUACAUUAAAAAGUAAGGAUAAGUCUG